Callithrix jacchus (white-tufted-ear marmoset) is the source of this 9583-nucleotide non-coding RNA. The record is from RefSeq and is a predicted model, not a curated record. NCBI's taxonomy places the organism in Eukaryota, Metazoa, Chordata, Mammalia, Primates, Cebidae.
UGCCCGAGGCCAGGAUCUGGCUGGGGAGCUGCGUCGGGCUUAGGCCGUUGCGAGAGAGCGCCCGCGGCCACCCCGGCCCGCGCAACCCCGGAACCCUGCGGGCCGCUCGGCCGCGGCCGCUCUCGCUUGGCUCUCGAGGCCCAGUGUGAUCCCAAGGGUUCUCAAAAGUGGAAGAGGAAGACAGGAGAAAAAGAGAUGUGGUAACGGAAGGAGGUCUGAGACGUGCUAUGUUAAUGGCUUGUAGAUGGAAGAGGGCCAUGAGCCAAGGAACAUGGGCAGCCUCUAGAAGCUGGAAAAGGCAAGGAAAUGGACUGUCUCCUGGAUCCCCCACUUUCGGGAUCUCAACUUUAGCCCAUUAAGACCUGGCUCAGACUUCUAUCCAGAACUAUGGAAUUCCAGGCUGGAGAGCAGUGGCCCGAUCUCAGCUCACUACAACCUCUGCCUGCUGGGUUCAAGUGAUUCUUGUGCCUCAGCCUCCCGAGUAGCUGGGAUUACAGAUCCAAUAGGUGGCACAAGGAGUCACUUACACAGGACAAGCACUGGCCAGCAGAGAACUUGGACUUCCUGUUUCCGGGGGGCCUUCAUCUUAGAGAUGUCCUAGUCACGUUACACAGCCAUUCCCUGCCCCGGAGAAAGAAUCUGGUCGCUCAGCUUGGUUCAGGAGUGUCUACCCUGGUCAUCUUUGGUAGAGCCGGAGGGUCACUUGAGGAGAUGAUAGUGACUGCUGGGGCCACCCCUGUGGAAGGGGGCUGGGGACAACUUUUAGGAAAGGAGGCACAGGCUGAACAGAAGACCCUAAAUGUGCCCACUCCCUCCAGGCAUCGCUGCUGCCUUUGGCACUGCAGCUGGUGGCUCUGCGUCUUCCCCUCCAGGCUCCCUGCCUUCUCCCUUAAACCUCCAGCAUUAAUGGGACAUCAUUUGUUAACCGAAAAUAUUUUCUCCAUAAACUUCAGCACAUUGGUGAAUGUCUACCACAGAAACAUUUUUUCGUGUGGAAUAAUCAAAUCGGGGACCACGUGUUGAGGGGAGAAACCGUUUAAACAAAAGACAUGCCAAGUACAUUGGGACUGAGUGAGUUCAUAAGGAUCUACAUGUGUCUAACAGUGUAUUUUACAACCAACAAAGUUACUAUACAUAAUAAGUAUGCAUAGUAAUGUUUAAACAGCCCUCCCAUUAUGUCUAAAUGAGAACGAUCUUAUUCACACUUCUUCAAGUGACCAAAGAAGAACAUCUGAAAUUAGGGGUGAGAGGCAAAAAGUCUAGAGGUUCUGACCUAAGUGGGUUCCUGCUUCUGAUUUAUAAGGUGCCAUUCAGGGAACGAUGGGGCCCUUUGUUAAAUCCAAAGACUAUACUGUUAGCCUCGGAGAGCAACUGAGACUCUUUCCUCCACAGUCUCUGAUAGUGGUGGUGGAGGUGACGGUGAUAUCAUGUGAAGCACUCUUCACAUGGAUUAUCGGGUUUACUCUUUACAACAUCCCUAUGAGGUGGAUAGUAGUAUUAUCCCCAUUUUACACAUGAGGAAACUGAGGCACAGAGGGAGUUAACUUCCAUUCCAAAGUUCUCAGAAAUGGUAACUUGCAGAACCAACCUAUAAACCUAAGUCUGGCUACAGCUGAAGACCUUUGAUCCUUAUGAAUAUAAUAUAUCUAGAUCUUCCAACAAGAUUGUUUUUUUUAAUUUUGAAAACAAAGCUCCCGAAUGGACAUUACGCCUUCCCAUCAUUUUCAUCACUCACUAGGUCUUUUUAUUUCCACUGCAUUCGAAACAACUUCUUUUGCGUUUCCUAUAAGGAAGUACUGAGGAGGAGGGCAUCAAAGUGAUUAGGACCCUCUUGGGGUUUUUGAGAAGCUCUAGGUCAUCUAAUACUAGGAAGAGGCUGUAUAAGCAUAAUUAUAACGCAAUAUUCAAUAUGAGAUGUCGUCCUAGAAACACAGGGAUCUAGGGGAUUAAGGGAAGGAGCAGUCACGUCCUCUAAGUAUAUACAAGGUAUGGUUUGCUGCAUGUGAAUGUUGCUAGAAUAAUCAUGUGAAAGAGACAGAAGUCCCAUGUUAGCGAAAGUAACCAGCAGUUCGCAGGUGUGAUCCUCAGUGGGACCACUAUGACUUCCGGUAAGUUAGGUGGCCUCGUGCAUUAGUCUGUUCUCACAGUGCUAUAAAGUACUACUUGAGACUGGGUAAUUUAUAAAGAAAAGACAUUUGACUCACAGUUCCACAGGCUGUACAGGAGGCAUGGCCGGGGAGGCCUCAGGAAACUUAAAAUCACCGCAGACGGCGAAGGGAAAGCAGGCAGGUCUUACCAUGGCCGGAGAAGGAGGAAGACAGUGAAGAGGGAGGUAUUACAUACUUUUAAACAACCGGAUGUCGUGAGAACUCACUAUUACAAGAGCAGCAAGGGGGAAGUCUGCCCCCAUGAUCCAAUCAUCUCCUACCAGUCCUCCCUCCAACGCUGGGGACUACAAUUUAGACAUGAGAUUUCGUCAGGAACACAAAUCCAAAGCAUCUCACCGUGUCUUUAUUGAAACAGGAAAGACACAAGACCUAGAUAGGCCUGAGCCUUGUAGCGUGUUCUCAGUAAGCAGCGUCCCUGAAGAAAAGACUGCUAGCUAUUGCGAGCUGUCAGCCAGCAAACCCAGGCAGGGAUGAUAGGACGACCUGCAGGGGAGAUCUUUGGAAAGAACUCUUCCCUCAGUGUGACACUUUAGAUCUCUAGGAUCUCUCCGGAACAGCCCCUGGAAUAGAUGGAUACACCUUGUUCUUUGUACUUUGAUUGCAAAAACCAGCCCGUCAUCUGCCACCAGCUGCACUCAGUGAAUCUUGGUGCUGUCCAGCAUGCAGACAUCUGAGACAUGUGUUGAUUACAUGCUCUGCCCCCCACUGUCAUUACUAAGGCCUGCUUUCUGUUUAGGCGACAUGAGCCGGCUGUGCCUUCCUGCUCCUCUGUUGUCUGCAGCAGUCUGCCAUCAGGACUUAGAGGCUUAACCAUAGCAGUGGAAAGCAGGAUGCACUCCAGACUUAUCUGACUUUGGAUAAAAUAGCUCUAAAGCUCUUUUUCAUUUAUAUACAACUUUACAUUACAAAGCCCAUCACAAUCAUCAUUAAUUAAACCUGCCACUCAUUGCCCUCUGAGGUAGAGCUGAAUUAGUCUGCUCAUUUUACAGCUGACAAAACAGACAGAAAGGCUUAAGGAUUUGCUGAAGUGAAGUGGGGUUCAAUCAAGGAAGCCUGGCAUGAUUCCCUUUCUAGUUCAUUCUUCGUCUCCUGGAGGAGGCCUUCAAAACGCCUAGCUCCUAGCUCUGAGCAGCUAAAGGAAGCCAACUGGGGAGAGGAACUUGGCGGAGCAGCUGUGGUGACCUAGAACAGAACAUCAGUGUGAGGUUUGGAUGAUGUGAACACUUGCGUGUCAUGUUUUCCUGAUUCUCAGUGGAUAUUACACACGUGCACAGACACACACACACGCACACAUGCACAUGCGUGCGCACACACACUCAUGCACACACAUACGCAUGAACACACAGGCACAUGUGCGCGUGCACACACAGGCACACAGAGUUUUCUCUUGUUGGGUCAGGUAGCAGAAGGAUGUCGGAAGGUAGUUGGAAUACUGGUUUGCAGCAAUGCUCUGUCUGAGCUGGUGGCAAAGUGGCCCACCCAUUACUCUCCUUGCCAACCACUUGCCAGGGCUCUUAUAUCAGAAUUUUAAACAAACUCUAAAUCAAACACAUCCCAAGGACAGGCCCAGUUUCCCAUUUUGUGGAACCUAGAGCAAGAAUGAAAACAAAAACUCACGUAUCAUAUGUGUAAAUAUUUUUAAACUCUAGCCAAAGCUAACAAACUUGGGUUUCCCACCUUGACAGAUACACCUUUACAAUGAUGCAGACACUUGGUUUGAAUUUAGAAUAUUUCAGCUCCUUAGAGCUCCAUAUCAAAAUGUGGUGGCUCAGGGGAGCAGUCCUGGCCCAGACCAAUGCCCUUCCUCCAUCCCUCAAAUUGGGCCCACAUCAGAAAGGGCCUCACAUACUCAUGAUGUGGAUUCUAGCCCAUAUGUCCAAGUGUUGGCCAUAUCGCCACCCCCUUUUGGUUGACACUUGGGCAUAUGGCCCAACUGUAUAGUCCACCCUCAGAAGGAUAGAUCAGGGUCGGGCACAAUGGCUCACACCUGUAAUCUCAGCCCUUUGGGAGGUUCGCUUGAGGUCAGGAGUCUGAGACCAUCCUGGCCAACAUGGUGAAACCUCGUCUCUACUAAAAAUACAAAAAUUAGCCGGGCAUGGUAGUGAGUGCCUGUAAUCCCUGUUAACUCAGGAGGCUGAGGCAGGAGAAUCUCUUGAACCUGGGAGGUAGAGGUUGCAGUGAGCCAAGAUUGUGCCAUUGCACUCUAGCCUGGGCAACAGAGCAAGACUCUGCCUCAAAAAAAAAAAAAAAAAAAAGGCAGGAGAACAGGAGAAGAGGCCCACACCAGUCUUGGAGCAGGGCCAUUGGCAGGAAAUUCUGAGUUCUGGUACCUGGAAUGUAGCCUAAAAUGAUGGCAUGGCUCUGGGAGAGUAAAUCCACUUAGCCUGUAGACUCCUUGUCCAGUGGGGAGGACUGACCAGAAAAGAACAAGGGUAGCAUAGGGCUCUCUACAUAGUGGGUCCCAGGGGAGAGACCCCUCUUACCGAGACGUAAGAGCAAAUCAUAUCUGGCCAAAUAAUAAAUGAGCCAAAGGUGUGAGCUAAUAGAAUCUACACAAAUCUGGGUACCAUUAUUUCUACCUAAACUUUAAAACACAGAGGCAUGAGCUGCUUUAAGUAUUUUAUCUGCUAUCUCCAAUAAAUGACUUAUUUAUUCUUGGCAGUAGGCAUGAUCUCCAGUAGGUAUAAGGGCCAGAGACCAAAUGAAUGAGCUCUGUAUGUAAAUAUUUUACUGGUAUGGUUGCACUCCCAUACAAAACCCUAGAAGGUGAUCCUAGGUACUGCUACCUCCCCACCAUGGACCAAGGGGAAGGAAGAAGAGAAGCUUGAUUUCCUGGACUGCUGGCCAUUGUUGUGGGAGUUGCUUGGGUCAGUCGAGGUUGUGAGGAGCUGUGAGACAAAACAGCUUCCGUCCACAUCAUUUUCUGCAGAAUCAGGGUCAUGAUCGUAGUCCGGACUCUGAGAUGCAAAGAAGCCAAAAUUAUGAGCUUCCUUAUUGUUAACCGUGUCUCAGUUUUGCAUGAACAUUUACAACAUUUAAUAUUAAGGGAAAUAUGUCCACAUGUAAAAAGUAUUUUCACCACCAAAUUCUUGAGGCAAAACAUGUAAGGAAAUGUGUACAGCGUUUAUUUUGAUGCAAAUUCGUUGUACGUUUGAAUGCCAACAGCACUGAAUUCUGGAUUCUUGGCUCAGGCAAGGGUCAGUCCAACUUUCUCCCAGAGUAUUGUUCCUAAUAUAUGAAGGACACAUUCCUUAACGAUCUUUGGAGGUAUGUUAUAUAAUUUAAUUUCCUUUACAUUUUUUGUUUGUUUUUGAGAUGGAGUCUCGCUCUGUUGCCCAGGCUGGAGUGCAAUGGCCCGAUCUCAGUUUACCAAAACCUCUGCCUCCCAGGGGGUUCAAGGGCUUCUCCUGCCUCAGCCUCCUGAGUAGCUGGGAUUACAGGUACCCACCACCAUGCCCAGCUAUUUUUGUAUUUUUAUGAGAAAUGGGGUUUCACCAGGUUGGCUAGGCAGGUCUAGAACUCCUGACCUCAGGUGAUCCACCCACCUGAGGCUCCCAGAGUGCUGGGAUUAUAGGUGUGAGCCACUGUUCCCGACCUCUGUUAAAUUUUUUUUUUUCUUUGCCUAUGGAGGUAGAAACAGAGCCCAAAUCAGAAUUUAAAAGUUGUUUCACACUAGUAGGUGGUGGUCCCUUCUGGGGUGUGAACAGGUAGGUUCUCUUCCUACCCGUUUCACCUUCUCCCCAACAGAGCCACUAUCUGUUCAGACAGAGCCACUUGAAAAGCUAGGGACAAUUCGUAUUCCCUGACUGAUCCCAUUUUUGGUUGUCGCUUGGCAACUUGGUCUGUGUCGCAGCCUGUAUAAGCAUCCAGCUUCCCAAAAGCAUCUCUGAAACCUCUCUCAAUGCGGUUCGGGUUCCCAUGUCGUCAUGAUUUACCCUCCUGGCUCAUCAGUUAAGGUGGACUGUGGGUCCAAAGUAGGUGGCUCAACGCUGGUCAGUAAGACCUUGCUGGGAUGGUCCACCCAAGAGCAUCGCCGAUGACUGCUAAUAAAACCCGAUGUCACUGAUACUGAGUGAGGUAACCUUCUGUUUAUUAACAAUAGUUAGGGAAUGAGGUGUUUAAUACAUUGGGUAAUCCACUUAAUUAUAGACAACCAGUGUCUAAAGAAAUGUAAACUAGUUUUGAAAGAACUAUAAGGCUGGGCAUGGUGGCUCAUGCCUGGAAUCCCAGCACUUUGGGAGCCUGAGGCGGGUGGAUCAGUCGAAGUCAGGAGAUCAAGAGCAGCCUGGUCAACAUGGUGAAACUUCGUCUCCACAAAAAAAUAAAGAAAUUAGCCGGGAGUGGGGGUGCAUGCCUGUAAUCCAAGCUACUCGGGAGGCUGAGGCAGGAGAAUCGCUUGAACCUGGGAGGCAGAGAAGUUGCAGUGAGGGGAGGUUGAACCACUGCACUUCAGCCUGGGUGACAGAGUAAGACUCUGUCUCAAAAAGAAAGAAAGAAGGAAGGAAGGAAGGAAGGGACCUGUAAUCCCACCUCCCAUAAAGGCCAUAGGCUUCUUAAGGCAUAGUCUGUGUCAGUUUUAUCUUUAUUCCUCUUAUGGUAUCUUGCAAGUUGCUUUAUAUAUUGUAGGUGCUAAAAGAGUUUUUAUUGAAUGAAUGAAACUAUAGGACACAAACUAUCAUUUACCAAGGUGUCUUAAUUCUUCUUUGACAACUCAGAAGGCCCUCCGGAAUCACACAUUUCAAGGUUGUUAUUAUGUGCGUUAUCCUUGGGGAUGUUUAAGCACAGGUCAAGUAGUUGAAAGGGGAAUUCUGCAGCGACUGGAAGAUAGGACUUGAUAACUACCAGCUCAUUCCAAGUCUUUGUGUAUGUGUUGAGAAGUCAAAUAUAGAAAUGAUCUCAUUUAUUAUUACCCGAAAGAAACACCACAUCACAGUGCAAUUGUGAUGUGUUUGUGAAACCAGGAGAUUACAAGUGAAAACUGUUGAAUGGUCUCUGUUAAUAAGAAAACCGGAUUUCAUGAUCCUUGACUAUGAUAAGUCAAUUAAUCUGAAAAGGUAGGAUAUCAUUGGUGCUGUGAGUGUAUUAUUACCAUUAUUUAAUUUUAUUUUAUUAAAACCUGCUCAUUAGAUUACAAUUUACUAACGCAAACAUGUUUGUCGCUAUGUGGCUAAUAUAUGCCAAGCCUGUGUUAGCCAUUAGGGAUACAAUGUGAAUAUAAUUCAUGCCCUCAAGAAAUUUAAAUAAUUAAUCUGUAAAAACAUUUCAUUGCGCAGAUCAUUUUUACAGCACUUUAAAUGUCAAUGUGGGAAAUUAGCCAGGGUGUGAUGUGACCCUCUAACCUAUCCCACAACUCGUUCAAAAUACAGAACAAUACAAAGGAAAAAAUACCAAUGUUAGCUUAAUUACUUGACAUUAGUGUUUUUCUGAAAAACACAGUAUACAGAAUGUUCAUUUAGAAUUCCGGGUAAAUAUGCUUCCGCACGGAAGGUGAUUUUAAUUUCAGUUUAGUGCAAGGUCUGCUAGCCCCCCAGAACUUCAGGGUGAAGCAGCCUCCCCAGGUGGGGAGGAGAGAGCCAUCACAGCGCCCCACCCUCUUCUCUGAUCUUCCUGGGGAUCUGAUAGUGACAGGGGUGGUGGCAGGGAGCCCUGCCCUGGAACUCAGGAGAAGCCUGGGAGGCAGGGACAGGUGUUCUCAGUCCAGUCUGUCAGGUACUGUUUGUAAUGGAUGCUGCCGUCAUUCCUCACAGUUCCCUGUAAACAUGUUGAUUUUCAGCUCGAUAGGAGAACUUUGCCAUUUAGUGUUUUCAUAUCUAAAACUAAGGCAGGGUGGCUCAGCCUCUAAUCCCAGCACUUUGCAAGCCUGAGGUGGGUGGAUCACUUCAGGUAAGAAGUGUGAGACCAGCCUGGGCAACAUGGUGAAACCCCAUCUCUACCAAAAAAAAUAUAUAAAAAUUAGCUGGGCGUGAGUGGUGUGAGCCUGUGGUCCCACCUACUCAGGAGGCUGAGGUCGAAGGUUACCUUGAGCCUGGGAGGCAGAGGUUGCAGUAAGCCAAGAUUGCCCCACUGCACUCCAGCCUGGGUGACAGAGAGACCCUGUCUCAAAAAUAAACAAACAAACAAACAAAUGAAAAUAAAUAUAAGGGCCAGGCACAGUGGCUCACGCCUGUAAUCCCAGUACUUUGGGAGGCCGAAGCAGGCGGAUCGCCUGAGGUCAUGAGUUCGAGACCAGACUGGCCAAUACGAUGAAACCCUGUCUCUACUAAAAGUACACUGGGGGCCAGGCGCGGUGGCUUACGCCUGUAAUCCCAGCACUUUGGGAGGCCGAGGCGGGUGGAUCACGAGGUCAAGAGAUCGAGACCAUCCUGGUCAUCAAGGUGAAACCCCGUCUCUACUAAAAAUACAAAAAAUUAGCUGGGCAUGGUGGUGCAUGCUUGUAAUCCCAGCUACUCAGGAGGCUGAGGCAGGAGAAUUGCCUGAACCCAGGAGGCGGAGGUUGCGGUGAGCCGAGAUCACGCCAUUGCACUCCAGCCUGGGCGACAGAGUGAGACUGCAUCCCCCCAACCCCUCAAAAAAAGAAGGUUUAGAUGAAAUCAGUUUCCCAACAUACAGUGUGCCGGAGGACACAAGCCCCAUAAGAUGCGCCAUCGGAAUGGAGUGUGUGGAAAGCCACGCGAUACACCUUUUAGUGGAGACUCAUGGCGGUGCCUCCGCACACUGACGCCAGAGGAGCUGCACGGUCCAAACAAUUAAAAGCGGCAUUUCUCAAAAGGCUUAGCCCUGAAACCCUUUCUUCUCGUAUCACCUACUAGCAUCUGCUGACUCACUUAGUGUUCGGAGAUACACAUUUUGAGAAACCCUAGAACAUCUCUAUAGCCAUUGUUUUUUCGUUGUUUAUCGAGAUGGAGUCUCACUCUGUCGCCCAGGCUGGAGUGCAGUGGCACAAUCUCAGUUCACUGCAACCUCCGCCUCGCGGAUUCAAGCAAUUCUCCUGCCUCAGACUCCCGAGUAGCUGGCAUUAGAGGCCAGUGCCACCACACCUGACUAAUUUUUGUAUUUUUAGUAGAGACGGGGUUUCACCCUGUUGGCCAGAUGGUCUCGAACUCCUGACCUCGUGAUCUGCCCACCUCGGCCUCCUAAAGUGCUGGGGUUACAGGUAUGAGCCACUGCAACCGGCCUAGACAUUGGUUUUUAUGGCCUCUUAAAGCAAAAAGUAGUCUUAGAAAUCAGAGGUCCAUUGAGGUUAGGUAGCCUGUCAGGGAUCUCAGUUACUAGGCAGACUAGGUUCCUCUCGUUUGUCAAUUUCUUACAUUCUGUAUUCUCAUAACCUUGAUGAAUAACAUAUUACUGUAAGAAAAGCUAGAAAAAGCAUCAGUGAUUUAAAUCCGCAGACAAUUCCUAAGCCCUGGAAUUUCUAC